This is a long non-coding RNA of Mytilus trossulus (common blue mussel), 183 nucleotides long. RefSeq lists it as uncharacterized. The transcript has 3 exons. NCBI's taxonomy places the organism in Eukaryota, Metazoa, Mollusca, Bivalvia, Mytilida, Mytilidae. The record is from RefSeq and is a predicted model, not a curated record.
GAUAAUGAUGAUAACUGUAAAAACAGUUUCUAUAAUAGCUGCAGCUGCAGCUAUUACAGUUAUUAACAAUGGAAAGGGAUCUCCAACAAACUUCAACGUAAAUGUUGGAACAAACAAUGUAAUUAUAUACAAAGAAAGUGAAAAACAAAAACCACAAAAUAAGGGACUGAAUUGACAAAGAAA